ACGUCAGGGCGGAAGCGCACGCUGCGUGAAGCGGCCCAGAACCCGGCGGUCACGGGAAUAUCCGUCGCGCCGAGGACGCUGGUUAGUUUCGCUCCGGGUUCCGGCUGCGUUGGGCGUGCGUGCAGCUCGCUGAGACUAUGGCGUCCGGGCCUCACCCGACCGCGACCGCUGCCGCUGCUGCCUCCUCGGCCGCCCCGAGCGCAGGCGGCUCCAGCUCCGGGACGACGACCACGACGACGACCACGACGGGAGGGAUCCUGAUCGGCGACCGCCUUUACUCGGAAGUUUCGCUCACCAUCGAUCAUUCGCUGAUUCCGGAGGAGCGGCUUUCCCCUACCCCGUCCAUGCAGGACGGGCUCGACCUGCCCAGCGAGACCGAUUUGCGCAUCCUGGGCUGCGAGCUCAUCCAAGCCGCCGGCAUUCUCCUCCGGUUGCCGCAGGUGGCGAUGGCAACGGGGCAGGUGUUGUUUCAUCGUUUUUUCUACUCCAAGUCUUUCGUCAAACACAGUUUCGAGAUUGUUGCCAUGGCUUGUAUUAAUCUUGCAUCAAAAAUUGAAGAAGCACCUAGAAGAAUAAGAGAUGUGAUUAAUGUAUUUCACCAUCUGCGCCAGUUAAGAGGAAAAAGGACUCCAAGCCCCCUGAUCCUUGAUCAGAACUACAUUAACACCAAAAAUCAAGUUAUCAAGGCAGAGAGGAGGGUGCUAAAGGAGUUGGGAUUUUGUGUUCAUGUCAAGCAUCCCCAUAAGAUCAUUGUUAUGUAUUUACAAGUCUUAGAAUGUGAACGUAAUCAAACCCUGGUUCAGACUGCCUGGGUAGUCCAUGAUGGUAAGUCAUAGAACUCUGCCCUCUGCACUUCAGCCCAUGACCUCAGGAUGGCCUGAUUGGCUGCCCUGCUCUCCAGCCAAUCCAGUGCAAGCUCUGAUCCGAGAUUCACUGAAGUGGUCCAUAUCCAUCUGGCAGCAUCUUCUAGUUCUGUCGGGGUGUCAAAAGGAUUUGUAUAUUUGCUUCUAGAAGUAACUAUUCAACAUGCCUAUGUAUAUAAUGUAUACCUGUAACUAUCAAAAUGAGUAGUUCAAUUUUGAUAGAUUUGUUGUCCAGCCAUUAUGAAUUAAAUGAUUUUUUUUGUUAGGAGUUUGACUUAGAUUUCUAUUUUUAGUAUGUAUACCAUGGAUUCUACCAAGGGAAACUACAACUUGCAGCUUAAAAUGGGCACCAUUCCCAUACUGGAUGAAUUACAGCUGCUGGACUAUUGAAGGAAUAAUAAUAGAAGUACAUUUUUAAAAGAGAUGUUAAUAUAAACAUAAGCACUUUAGAACUUGAACUUUUGACAUGAAGAUGUUUGAUUUGGAGGGCUGGCUUAUUUUAAGGUAAAACAAGGAAUUUGGUCCAGCUAUAACUACUUUUUCAAGACUGUUGAUGAUGUGCAGGACUUAUGUAAUUUUUAUGUUCUGGACUUAAUGAGUGCCAUGCUUCUUUAGGACUCAGUAAAUAUUAGUAAUAUUAGAAAAGUCUAAUUGCUUUUAUAAAAUGCAUGACAUUUUUAAUAUAUGCUCUAUAAAACAUUUACAGUUAUUUCAUGGGUAAGGAUUUUUAAGAAAUAGUCUUUUAACCUUUUAAACAAUUCGUGAAAUUUCUUUAAUACUUUAGGGAUAUUGUGGGGAGGGUUCACUAAUAAAAAAAAGUCCAGCAGUUAAAUAACUGAAGUAGUUUAUUGCUUUUGUUUAUACUUAGUCACAAAAAAGGUAUGUAAACAAGGCUGUUUUGUAUAUUUACUGCUCUUCCCUACCUAAAUUUUCUGAAGUAGCUGAGAUUUCCUAAUAUAACUUGGUGAGUGCUUACCGAAAAUGCCUUUUUUACCCCUGUCACAGUAUUUUGAGUUUUUGAAAGAACUUGGUUGACACUGCUUUUUCAUUGUGGAUAAAGGAGAGAUGGUCAAUAAUUAAUGGCUCGAAGUAUUGUUGGAGUGGUUUAUCAUUUCUGAAGCUAGUUAUGUCAAAAUUAGAAGUACAUAAAAACUUAUUUCUAAAGUUCUAUUUGGAAUAAUAAUAUGGAAUUAUUUUAAAGGACUUUGGUCAUAUAUAGGAAAACUGAAGAAUGGUUCUAGUAUUAAAUUCUUAUCUCUUACUGGUUUUUGAGUUAAGAAUUGUUGUAUGCUAGAAUAUGAGGAUAUGAAUAUAAAUAUGAGAAGAAAAAAGAAUAAAGUAGAUUGAGUCUCCAAUUUUAUGUAAGCUUCAGAAGGACUGUUUGUUUAUGUACAAAGCUUAUGGUUGAAAUAUUUUUCAGGAAUUAUAUGAAUGACAGUCUUCGAACCAAUGUAUUUGUUCGAUUUCAACCAGAGACUAUAGCAUGUGCUUGUAUCUACCUUGCGGCUAGAGCUCUUCAGAUUCCAUUACCAACUCGUCCCCAUUGGUUUCUUCUUUUUGGUACUACGGAAGAGGAGAUCCAGGAAAUCUGCAUAGAAACGCUUAGGCUUUAUACCAGAAAAAAGCCAAACUAUGAAUUGCUGGAAAAAGAAGUAGAGAAAAGAAAAGUAGCCUUACAAGAAGCCAAAUUAAAAGCAAAGGGGUUGAAUCCCGAUGGAACUCCAGCCCUUUCAACCCUUGGUGGAUUUUCUCCAGCCUCUAAACCAUCAUCACCAAGAGAAGUGAAAGCUGAAGAGAAGUCACCAAUUUCCGUUAAUGUGAAGACUGUCAAGAAAGAACCUGAGGAUAGACAACAGGCUUCCAAAAGCCCUUACAAUGGUGUAAGGAAAGACAGCAAGAGAAGUAGAAAUAGCAGAAGUGCUAGUCGAUCAAGGUCAAGAACGCGAUCACGUUCUAGAUCACAUACUCCAAGAAGACAUUAUAAUAAUAGGCGGAGCCGAUCUGGAACAUACAGCUCAAGAUCAAGAAGCAGGUCACGCAGUCACAGUGAAAGCCCAAGAAGACAUCAUAAUCAUGGUUCUCCUCACCUUAAGGCCAAGCAUACCAGAGAUGAUUUAAAAAGUUCUAAUAGACAUGGUCAUAAAAGGAAAAAAUCUCGUUCUCGAUCUCAGAGCAAGUCUCGGGAUCACUCAGAUGCUGCCAAGAAACACAGGCAUGAAAGGGGACAUCAUAGGGACAGGCGUGAAAGGUCUCGCUCCUUUGAGAGGUCCCAUAAAGGCAAGCACCAUGGUGGCAGUCGCUCAGGACAUAGCAGGCACAGGCGCUGACUUUCUUCCUUUGAGCCUGCAUCAAUUCCUGGUUUUGCCUAUCUACAGUGUGAUGUAUGGACUCAUAAUCAAAAACAUUAAAAACAAACUGAUUAGGAUUUGAUUUCUUAAAACCCUCUAGGUCUCUAGAAACACUGAGGACAUUUUCUUUUGGAAAGAACUAUGUUUUUUUUGUUUUGUUUUUGUUUUCUUGUUUUUUUUCUUUUUGGUUUUUGUUUUUGGGUUUUUUUUUUUUUGCACAUUAAAAUGCCCUAGCAGUAUCUAAUUGAAAACCAUGGUCAGGUUCAAUUGUACUUACUAUAGUUGUGUAUUGUUAUUGCUAUAAGAACUGGAGCGUGAAUUCUGUAAAAAUGUAUCUUAUUUUUAUACAGAUAAAAUUGCAGACACUGUUCUAUUUAAGUGGUUAUUUGUUUAAAUGAUGGUGAAUACUUUCUUAACACUGGUUUGUCUGCAUGUGUAAAGAUUUUUACAAGGAAAUAAAAUACAAAUCUUGUUUUUCUAAACUGCUUCAAAUAUCUUAUUUAAAUAAAUUAUUAAAAAGUAAAAAUUUAAUA
Zalophus californianus (California sea lion) is the source of this 3744-nucleotide RNA transcript. It is a transcript of the gene named cyclin L1, with no coding region annotated. The record is from RefSeq and is a predicted model, not a curated record. NCBI's taxonomy places the organism in Eukaryota, Metazoa, Chordata, Mammalia, Carnivora, Otariidae. The transcript has 11 exons.